AUUGAACGCUGGCGGCAUGCCUUACACAUGCAAGUCGAACGGUAACAGGUCUUCGGAUGCUGACGAGUGGCGAACGGGUGAGUAAUACAUCGGAACGUGCCUAGUAGUGGGGGAUAACUACUCGAAAGAGUGGCUAAUACCGCAUGAGAUCUACGGAUGAAAGCAGGGGAUCGCAAGACCUUGUGCUACUAGAGCGGCCGAUGGCAGAUUAGGUAGUUGGUGGGAUAAAAGCUUACCAAGCCUACGAUCUGUAGCUGGUAUGAGGGGACGAUCGGCCACAAUGGGACUGAGACACGGCCCAGACUCCUACGGGAGGCAGCAGUGGGGAAUUUUGGACAAUGGGCGAAAGCCUGAUCCAGCAAUGCCGCGUGCAGGAUGAAGGCCUUCGGGUUGUAAACUGCUUUUGUACGGAACGAAAAGCCCCGGGUUAAUACCCUGGGGUCAUGACGGUACCGUAAGAAUAAGCACCGGCUAACUACGUGCCAGCCGCCGCAGUAA
Molecule: ribosomal RNA, 498 nt
Filed under: uncultured bacterium
Lineage: Bacteria
Description: partial 16S ribosomal RNA
Rfam family: Bacterial small subunit ribosomal RNA
Source: RNAcentral